RNAcentral lists this ribosomal RNA (1552 nucleotides) under Salmonella enterica. Its description in RNAcentral is "bacterial SSU rRNA". It matches the Rfam family "Bacterial small subunit ribosomal RNA". The record is from RNAcentral. Lineage: Bacteria; Pseudomonadati; Pseudomonadota; Gammaproteobacteria; Enterobacterales; Enterobacteriaceae.
AAAUUGAAGAGUUUGAUCAUGGCUCAGAUUGAACGCUGGCGGCAGGCCUAACACAUGCAAGUCGAACGGUAACAGGAAGCAGCUUGCUGCUUUGCUGACGAGUGGCGGACGGGUGAGUAAUGUCUGGGAAACUGCCUGAUGGAGGGGGAUAACUACUGGAAACGGUGGCUAAUACCGCAUAACGUCGCAAGACCAAAGAGGGGGACCUUCGGGCCUCUUGCCAUCAGAUGUGCCCAGAUGGGAUUAGCUUGUUGGUGAGGUAACGGCUCACCAAGGCGACGAUCCCUAGCUGGUCUGAGAGGAUGACCAGCCACACUGGAACUGAGACACGGUCCAGACUCCUACGGGAGGCAGCAGUGGGGAAUAUUGCACAAUGGGCGCAAGCCUGAUGCAGCCAUGCCGCGUGUAUGAAGAAGGCCUUCGGGUUGUAAAGUACUUUCAGCGGGGAGGAAGGUGUUGCGGUUAAUAACCGCAGCAAUUGACGUUACCCGCAGAAGAAGCACCGGCUAACUCCGUGCCAGCAGCCGCGGUAAUACGGAGGGUGCAAGCGUUAAUCGGAAUUACUGGGCGUAAAGCGCACGCAGGCGGUCUGUCAAGUCGGAUGUGAAAUCCCCGGGCUCAACCUGGGAACUGCAUUCGAAACUGGCAGGCUUGAGUCUUGUAGAGGGGGGUAGAAUUCCAGGUGUAGCGGUGAAAUGCGUAGAGAUCUGGAGGAAUACCGGUGGCGAAGGCGGCCCCCUGGACAAAGACUGACGCUCAGGUGCGAAAGCGUGGGGAGCAAACAGGAUUAGAUACCCUGGUAGUCCACGCCGUAAACGAUGUCUACUUGGAGGUUGUGCCCUUGAGGCGUGGCUUCCGGAGCUAACGCGUUAAGUAGACCGCCUGGGGAGUACAGCCGCAAGGUUAAAACUCAAAUGAAUUGACGGGGGCCCGCACAAGCGGUGGAGCAUGUGGUUUAAUUCGAUGCAACGCGAAGAACCUUACCUGGUCUUGACAUCCACGGAAGUUUUCAGAGAUGAGAAUGUGCCUUCGGGAACCGUGAGACAGGUGCUGCAUGGCUGUCGUCAGCUCGUGUUGUGAAAUGUUGGGUUAAGUCCCGCAACGAGCGCAACCCUUAUCCUUUGUUGCCAGCGAUUAGGUCGGGAACUCAAAGGAGACUGCCAGUGAUAAACUGGAGGAAGGUGGGGAUGACGUCAAGUCAUCAUGGCCCUUACGACCAGGGCUACACACGUGCUACAAUGGCGCAUACAAAGAGAAGCGACCUCGCGAGAGCAAGCGGACCUCAUAAAGUGCGUCGUAGUCCGGAUUGGAGUCUGCAACUCGACUCCAUGAAGUCGGAAUCGCUAGUAAUCGUGGAUCAGAAUGCCACGGUGAAUACGUUCCCGGGCCUUGUACACACCGCCCGUCACACCAUGGGAGUGGGUUGCAAAAGAAGUAGGUAGCUUAACCUUCGGGAGGGCGCUUACCACUUUGUGAUUCAUGACUGGGGUGAAGUCGUAACAAGGUAACCGUAGGGGAACCUGCGGUUGGAUCACCUCCUUACCUGAAAGAA